Molecule: ribosomal RNA, 1102 nt
Filed under: Microbacterium sp. 1SB6
Lineage: Bacteria; Bacillati; Actinomycetota; Actinomycetes; Micrococcales; Microbacteriaceae
Description: bacterial SSU rRNA
Rfam family: Bacterial small subunit ribosomal RNA
Source: RNAcentral
GCUCCUCCGGUGGAUUGAGCUUGCUUGUUGGAUCGGUGGGAACGGGUGAGAGACGGGAGCAGUGUGCCCUGGAGCGGGGAUAAUCGCUGGAAACGGGGUCAAAUACUGGAUAUGAGGAGUGAUCCUUUGGUCAGCGUCUGGAAAGAUUUUUCGGUCUGGGAUGGGCUCCUUUCCUAUCUUCUUGUUGGUGAGGUAAUGGCUCACCAUUGCGUCCGCCCAUUGCCGGCCUGAGAGGGUGACCGGCCACACUGGGACUGAAACACGGCCCAUACUCCUACGGGAGGCAGCAGUGGGGAAUAUUGCACAAUGGGCGGAAGCCUGAUGCUGCAACGCCGCGUGAGGGAUGACGGCCUUCGGGUUGUAAACCUCUUUUAGCAGGGAAGAAGCGAAAGUGACGGUACCUGUGCAAAAAGCGCCGGCUAACUACCUGCCAGUUGCCGCGUUAAUACCUAUGGCGCAGGCGUUAUCCGGAAUUAUUGGUUCUUCACAUCUCGUAGGCGGUUUGUCGCGGCUGCUGUGAAUGCGCGAGGCUCCACCUCUUCCCUGCAGUGGGUACCGUGAGACUAUACUGCGGUAGGGGAGAUUGUAAUUCCUGGUGUACCGCUGGAAUGCGCAGAUAUCAUGAGGAACACCAAUGGCCAACGCUUAUCUCUGGGACGUAACUGACACUGAGGAGCGAAUGCUUGCCGAGCUUACACGCUUAGUACCCUGGUAGUCCACCACGUAUGCGUUGGCAACUAGUUGUGGGCAUGAUUUCAGGGUUUUCGUGAGGCACAUAACGCAUUAAGAUCUCCGCUUGGGGAGUACAGUCUCAACGCUAACACUCAAGGGAAUUGACUGAGACUCGCACAAUCGGCGCAGACUGCACAUUACUUCUAUGCAACUCUUAAGGACCUUAACAAUGGCGUGAACUACUUCAGCACGGGGCAUACAUGCGUCAGCUCGUUGGACACUGGUCAGCAGCUGUUGCAUGGGUGUCGUCAGCUCGUGCUUCUUACAUGUGGAUAAGUUCACCACCGAAGCACCCUCGCUUCUAUGCUGCAGCACGUAUGGUGUUACUCAUGGGAACAUGACUGCGCUCCAGCUCGCAGCAGUGGAGAUG